UUGAGGGAAUGAAUCUCAAGCAGGCUCCAUGCCCAGCAUGUGAGCCCAAUGUGGGGCUUGAUCUCACGACCCUGCGAUCUUGACCUUAGCUUAAAUAAAGAGUUGGACGCUUCACCUACUGAGCCACCUGGGCACCUCCCCCCACCCCCGAAGCUGAUUUUUAUGGAAAUUCUAAUCCUGGUGGAAUCAGGGCAUGCCUUCAUCAAAUCAUCUCCCUGUCUCAAAUUUAUCAUCAUUCUUUGAUGAGUCCAGGAUCCUGGCAGAAGACCAUGAGCAGUAGUGGGAUGGAAGAUGACAUGAGGAAAUAACACAUCCAAGGGGAUUCUGAGACUUUUAAAGCAGAAUUUGCAGGAGCUGGAGUUACACCAGGAUGAUUGGGAAGGGCCAAAGGGGUAUCAUGGUGAUAAAGAUUUUACCCCCUGAAUUUUCUUUCUUGAGCUAGAAGUGAGAGAGACACAGCAAGAGAGGGAACACAAGCAGGGGGAG
This is a long non-coding RNA of Leptonychotes weddellii (Weddell seal), 486 nucleotides long. RefSeq lists it as uncharacterized. NCBI's taxonomy places the organism in Eukaryota, Metazoa, Chordata, Mammalia, Carnivora, Phocidae. The record is from RefSeq and is a predicted model, not a curated record.